CAUGCAAGUCGAACGAGUUCUCGUUGAUGAUCGGUGCUUGCACCGAGAUUCAACAUGGAACGAGUGGCGGACGGGUGAGUAACACGUGGGUAACCUGCCCUUAAGUGGGGGAUAACAUUUGGAAACAGAUGCUAAUACCGCAUAGAUCCAAGAACCGCAUGGUUCUUGGCUGAAAGAUGGCGUAAGCUAUCGCUUUUGGAUGGACCCGCGGCGUAUUAGCUAGUUGGUGAGGUAAUGGCUCACCAAGGCGAUGAUACGUAGCCGAACUGAGAGGUUGAUCGGCCACAUUGGGACUGAGACACGGCCCAAACUCCUACGGGAGGCAGCAGUAGGGAAUCUUCCACAAUGGACGCAAGUCUGAUGGAGCAACGCCGCGUGAGUGAAGAAGGCUUUCGGGUCGUAAAACUCUGUUGUUGGAGAAGAAUGGUCGGCAGAGUAACUGUUGCCGGCGUGACGGUAUCCAACCAGAAAGCCACGGCUAACUACGUGCCAGCAGCCGCGGUAAUACGUAGGUGGCAAGCGUUAUCCGGAUUUAUUGGGCGUAAAGCGAGCGCAGGCGGUUUUUUAAGUCUGAUGUGAAAGCCCUCGGCUUAACCGAGGAAGCGCAUCGGAAACUGGGAAACUUGAGUGCAGAAGAGGACAGUGGAACUCCAUGUGUAGCGGUGAAAUGCGUAGAUAUAUGGAAGAACACCAGUGGCGAAGGCGGCUGUCUGGUCUGUAACUGACGCUGAGGCUCGAAAGCAUGGGUAGCGAACAGGAUUAGAUACCCUGGUAGUCCAUGCCGUAAACGAUGAAUGCUAGGUGUUGGAGGGUUUCCGCCCUUCAGUGCCGCAGCUAACGCAUUAAGCAUUCCGCCUGGGGAGUACGACCGCAAGGUGAGCUCAGA
This 886-nucleotide ribosomal RNA is filed under the name Lacticaseibacillus paracasei. RNAcentral's name for it is "bacterial SSU rRNA". It matches the Rfam family "Bacterial small subunit ribosomal RNA", at positions 54 to 905 of the family's 1533-position model. Lineage: Bacteria; Bacillati; Bacillota; Bacilli; Lactobacillales; Lactobacillaceae. The record is from RNAcentral.